Molecule: non-coding RNA, 23 nt
Filed under: Arabidopsis thaliana (thale cress)
Lineage: Eukaryota; Viridiplantae; Streptophyta; Magnoliopsida; Brassicales; Brassicaceae
Source: RNAcentral
GGCGUUGAUAGAUAUGGUUGCUA